This 301-nucleotide ribosomal RNA is filed under the name uncultured bacterium. RNAcentral's name for it is "partial 16S ribosomal RNA". It matches the Rfam family "Bacterial small subunit ribosomal RNA", at positions 509 to 807 of the family's 1533-position model. The record is from RNAcentral.
CAGUCGCCACGGGAAUACGGAGGGUGCAAGCGUUAAUCGGAAUUACUGGGCGUAAAGCGCACGCAGGCGGUCUGACAAGUCAGAUGUGAAAUCCCCGGGCUUAACCUGGGAACUGCAUUUGAAACUGUCAGGCUGGAGUCUUGUAGAGGGGGGUAGAAUUCCAGGUGUAGCGGUGAAAUGCGUAGAGAUCUGGAGGAAUACCGGUGGCGAAGGCGGCCCCCUGGACAAAGACUGACGCUCAGGUGCGAAAGCGUGGGGUGCAAACAGGAUUAGAUACCCGUGUAGUCCCUGUCUCUUAUAC